UUUGAUUAGGUCCCAUUGGUUUAUUUUUGCUUUUAUGUCCCAGACUACUUUAUAAGAUGGUGUGCUAUUUUAUUAGGCAUCACAUAAUAUUUUGUUUUCUCUAGUUUGGUGUUGCUGUCACCUGUUGAUGAUUACUGCCAAAUCCAUUAUUUCAUUAGGGCUUGCAGAUUGGUAAUGUUCUAGUUCUGUUUUGUUACAGAAUACUUCUAUAAAUAGAGAUCUUCCUCCAUCUUCAACUUGGGAACCCACUAGUACAGUUGGUACAGUAAAGGCAGGAUAAGUGUUUGGACCCUUCUCCUUUAUUUAACAGUUUUUUAAAAUAACAAUUUGGUCCACUGGCAUGCCUAUUAGUGACUGAUUUCAGCCCUUCCUUUAUUUCUUUUUAAGUGUUAUUAUGAACUCACGGAUUUAGACACAUUUGACGUCAUUCAUUUCAUUGCAGUUGUUGUUCUCUUGAACUUUAAGGUGUCUUAUCUUUGGCUAGUGGGAGUCUCUUUAAAUUGGCUUCUGAAUCUUUUUCACACAACCCCAGUUGUUUUUGAGAGUGUCCUUGAGAUCUUGUACAUUUCCUGACUGGAAAUAUACCUGGAAUCAGCCAUCUUUUCUUUUAGUGGAAGAUGUUAUUUAGAGACCACAACCUGGUAGCCUUUUUAGAGAAGGAGCUAAGAAGUGUUUUAUUUUGUGUUGUUUUUUUAAAAAAGAUAAAACAAGCUAUGAGUCGAUACCAAUACUUUAAUCCAAAUUCAAGAUUUCAAUAUUCAUAGAUAAACUAAUCUAUCUUAUAUGUGUCUCCUUUCUCCCAUGCCCAGGCUCCCAUUUAUCAAUGACACCAAGAAUGACAGAAUUAAAAAUAUCUCAUAAUUAUUAACUUUGUUAUACACAGUGGUCUCUGGAUGACAAUGCCAACACUAUCACCAACAAUAUGAUUACUGAAAAGAGUGAAAUUUUAUUAUAUUUUAUUUUUUACACUUCUCUUUGUCAGGCAUAUUCCACUAGGUCUGUACAUCAAAUGACUGUGUUUUGAAGUCAUUUGGAAUUAUUUCUUUCAGUAUAGUUCUUUCACCAACUGGAUAGGCAUUUAAGUCCAUUUGUUUCAUAUCAUUUUUUUAUUUUUAGGGAUUUUUAUUAAAAUUUUAUUUUGCUUUAUAAUUAAAAGAUUUACAGUCUUCCAAGGUCAAAUCUAUAAAACAAGAUUUAUACCAAGAAGUCUAACUUCACCCUAUUCUUUUUCCUGUAGAUAUAACUACUUAAAAAAUUUUUGGAGUUCCCACUGUGGCACCAUGGGUUAAGGAUCCAGCAUUGUCUCUGUGGUGAGGAACUGUGGAACUAGAACUCUUUGCUGUUCCGCCAUCAUGCCAGGUUCUGUCCUGCCUCAAGCUGUCAUCCCGAGUCUCCACGUGGACCACCCCCUACUUCCUUCAGAGGGUCAUCUGCUAUCUGGCUAUUUCAUUAUCUGGUGCCCCAGACAAGCUCAGCGGGCCAGCCAAUUUCUUUUGUUCAGCUUCUCUUUGUGCUCAACUAACUGGAAGACACUGCUGAGAAGGACAGAGAUGGCUGCGGAUUUUCCUGGGUUAGGAAUUCAUAUACAGGACCCUUGCUUCUCAACUCGUUACCGAAGUGGCAGAGGUCUUCCCCAACAGAAGCUGACUCAGACGAGAGCAACUUUGACACAAACUGCCAAAAGGGAAACAGACUCCAUCUGCUAGAUCUCUCAGAUGUAUAGUUUCGUAUGUUUCCCAAGCUGGUCUCAGCGGCCUUCGUCACUACUUGAUGAGCAGGCCCAGUCGUAGAUGACCAGCGGAAUGCUGACCAGAGAAAACAACACCCCCAGACCCAAGAAAAGGGCAGCCUGGAGCAACAGAAAGGCAAGAAGGGUUAUUUGCAGCAGAGCAGACAUUGCCCACAUACACCUGGGAAAAAAUGGCUAUGCUCCCCCUCUCCCUUUGUGUCCCCUCGUAUGUGGAGUUUGUUACAACCACUGCUCAAUCUUUCUAAAAUCCUGUGCCUCUGAUUCUCCAAGGAUGGGAAACUAAGAAAAACCAGCCAUGCACAACCAUCCUCUGCAUUCUGUUCUUUGACUUCAUGGUCACCCAAGAGUGAAUCUGUUCUACUGCCUGUUGGGAAGCUUCACAGCACUUUUUUUCCCCCCAUAUGCCACACCCACAGCACAUGGAAGUUCCCAGGCUAGAGGUGGAAUUGGGGCGGACCGGAUCCCUUGUCUAAGGCUAUGUGCUAGAUCCUCUGACCAGUUUUAAACAGGGGCCAGGGUGGGAGAGGCCCGGAGAAUUCAUGGGCGAUAGAAUAGGUCUCCACCACUGUCAGAUUUAAUCUUAGUUCACUGCUCUGCAGACUGGCUCCUCCCUCCUCUCUGUCCUCGAGAAGCCCUUCCUGGUCAGAUUUAGAAGGACGAGGGGAUUUAUGGCUUUACGGAUAAUCCUGCUGGGGGAAGCAGAUACUCUACCAGCCUCCACACUGCUUUUCCUAAAGACACAGGGAUGGUUGCCCGUGCCUGUCUCUCAUCUGGGUCUGUUGACUCAGGCAACGUGUGGGGUUGGCGUGCUUACUACCUGGGAGGGCAGCUGGGAAGCCUGCUCCGAGGCCAAACAUAAUGGUGCUCUAGAAGGUACUCAGGUAGCAGCCACUUCACCCCUCCUUCCCUCACCGCCUCCAAGUGCACCACCUUCAAGAUGCCCUUGAACUUCACCAGCCCUGGGAACAAGAAUCCCAAUAUAGAAAGGUAGUUUGUGAAUCCAGGUCUGUUGCUGCAAAGCAUUCCUGUCAAAUCCUAAAAAGACUCUUUCCACUUACUCAGCAGAAGGCAGCACGUGUUCCCUGGACUGCAGGAUGGAGUUACAUGACCAGGAAUGGUACAGAACCCGGUGUACUGCCUAAAAUCUCUGAGCCCCUUUCCACAUCAAAUCUUGCUAAAGACAAGGCAUCAGCCUAUAGAGAUACAGGAUGACAAACGUCUAAUCUCUCAACUGGCCAUGCCUCCCCCCUCAGAGCAAAAGCUAAGGCACAGUAAGAGCCAAACGUGAAAAGGUACUUCCAAGGAAUGAGCAAGGUUCUGAUAUGAUCCUUGAAAUUUCCCAAAUGGGCAAACACUAGGACUGCCACAUCCUCUCGAGGUCACUAAAAAGUGGUGUUAGAUAGUGGAGAUGGACUCUUUAUUUGGCAUAUUCCAAUGAAAAACUCAUCAGAAAAAUGCAGUGGCUGGCAUGAGACAUACCCAAAUUCGCUGAGUUCCUUUAUCUCCAUCCUGGCUUGUGAUUUUUAAAUAAAGAGAUGAAGGAAGAAUGAAAAUAAGCAUAUUAGCAGAUGUAACUCCUGAAAAAAAAAAAAAAAAACUUGCGGUUGUUAUCGUGAAACUUUAGCUUCCUACACAGCCAUUGUAAAAUAAGCAUCAAGUCUGAAAGCCAUACCUACGACUCCAAAAAUAUCCUUCAUUGUGGGUAUGAAGAUCACCAGCAAGUUGAUAAUAACCAAGAGAAUGAAGGUCACCAAGACAUGACGACAUAGGUGGAACUUUGUCUUCUUAGCCAGUUCAAAUAAAGAUGAACGAACCUGCAGGAAAAGAACAGAUUCUGUAAAGCCCAUAGCAGGCCGUCACACUGCUCCACAGAGUGGCUGACAGAAUGGUGUGCAGGCACUUGGGACAUGUUUUUCAAACCUGGUGAAUUUCUUUUUAUUUAUUUAGUUUUCUUUUUUAGCUGCCACCCAGCGUAUGGAGUUCCUGGGCCAGGGAUCAGGUCUGAGCUUCAGCUGUGACCUAUGCAAUGCCAGAUCAUUAACUUGCUGUGCUGGGCCGGGGAUUGAACCUGCAUCCCAGGGCUCCAGAGACACCGCCAACCCACUGCACCACAGCGGGAGCUCCAUACCUAGUGAAUUUACAGAUAGCUUAACAGUUUGGGAAGCAGGGGGCUUGACUUAAGACGGAAAGUCUUUCUCUUUACGAAUAGGUAGUUUUCUUUUGUGGGGGGAUAAUUUGUCUCAUCUAAGACUGAAUGUUCUCUUCUGGUCCUUUUACCUUCUCCUUUCAUGGAUGACUGAGAUGCCAACAGUCUAUCUACAUUUCUCUGAGAAGGAGAGGGACAGAAUGGAGUUCCUUGAUGGUGCCACAGGUUAAGGAUCCAGUGUUCAGGAUCACUGCAGUGGCUCGGGUCUCAGCUGUGCUGUGGGUUCGAUCCCUGGCCCCAGAACUUCCCCAUGCUUUGGAUGCAGCCAAAAAAAAGAGAAGAAGAAGAGGGACAGAUUAAUUUGAAUUAAGACUCAUCCCAUCAGGUUCCUGUUAUGGCUCAGCAGAAGUCUUGGCGUCUUUCCCUGCUGCAGACACAAUGAUGCAGGGGAGUUCCCUGCAGCAGGCUUGCUCUGCCAAGUGGCUCCUGAAAGCAGCCGGAGAGAGGAGACCUCGGCUUUUCUCAGAUGGCACCGAGGCCCUUUACUCACUGUGAAGAAUAACACCGGCACUGUGAGGAUGACAGCGACAAUGACAGCCAGCCGCACGGUCAGGAUGAGGAUGUCAUCUUUACUCUGGUACUUGUGAAGGAGGUCCGAGUGCACGUUGUCUAAAAUGACGGGAAAGUAAGAGGCUAUUAACACGAGGCAAAAGCACAUCUCGGAAUGACGGUUUUUCUCAGCCACAAAGAAUUUAUACACUAGAGGGCAAGGAAAGUAGCGUUCUGGGUGUUGAAAUGUCUAUUAAACAAUUGAUCAAGCUGAAAAGAAAAAAUCCCCCACGUGAGACAAGCCCCACACAGACCUUUUGUGAAAAGGAAUGUACAGUACAAAUCACACAGAGUGGCAAAAGCUUAAGUUACACUAAACUAAACCUUGGCGUAAGUUGGGGUUAAAAAGACCAUAUGGUUGAAGCACAAAGCGCUUCUUCAUCUAGACCCUCCCCUACUUGGUGCCACUCGGCAAACGAUGUCAAAGGGUCGGUCUGGUGGCGUGGACCGCAGGCCACUCAGAACCCCUUUCCAACUCUCCUCUUAUAACUCAGCUUCCAAGCAGCAGGAGUGCUCCUGAAACUUGACCACCUCAAGGAUAUCAUUCUUCUCUCCCAGCCCGGCAACUCUGCAAGAACCUUAGGAGAACCCUCUUUCUGCAGGAAUUAAAUGUUGUAUUUAUGAAUUCAUUAGACAAUGCUAUUCUUCAUUGCUUGUGAAAAUGAUUCCAAUACAACUGUAUAAUCAGCGUAGCCUUUCUCUCCAGGCUCAAUUAAUCACCUAAAUGUGUUUAAAUUUUGAGACAUUUGUGUUCAUGAAAAAAAAAUGCCCCCGAGAAAUGUUAUUUAAUAGAGAAUAUGAACUAUAUGUACUUAAAUUUAAAUCUGGUCCCAAAUUAUAAGGAUAAUGAAAGAUGUGAAAUAAAACUGCAGGAUGACUGACAGAAGAGAAUGAAGAAGGAGAAAAAGAAGGUAAACUAUGUAUACAGGAUCAAUAAAAAUUAUAAAGGAAA
Molecule: non-coding RNA, 5457 nt
Organism: Sus scrofa (pig)
Lineage: Eukaryota; Metazoa; Chordata; Mammalia; Artiodactyla; Suidae
Source: RefSeq, a predicted model, not a curated record